Molecule: ribosomal RNA, 497 nt
Filed under: uncultured bacterium
Lineage: Bacteria
Description: partial 16S ribosomal RNA
Rfam family: Bacterial small subunit ribosomal RNA
Source: RNAcentral
GAUGAACGCUGGCGGCGUGCCUAAUACAUGCAAGUCGAGCGAACAGACGAGGAGCUUGCUCCUUUGACGUUAGCGGCGGACGGGUGAGUAACACGUAGGUAACCUACCUAUAAGACUGGGAUAACUUCGGGAAACCGGAGCUAAUACCGGAUAAUAUUUCGAACCGCAUGGUUCGAUAGUGAAAGAUGGCUUUGCUAUCACUUAUAGAUGGACCUGCGCCGUAUUAGCUAGUUGGUAAGGUAACGGCUUACCAAGGCAACGAUACGUAGCCGACCUGAGAGGGUGAUCGGCCACACUGGAACUGAGACACGGUCCAGACUCCUACGGGAGGCAGCAGUAGGGAAUCUUCCGCAAUGGGCGAAAGCCUGACGGAGCAACGCCGCGUGAGUGAUGAAGGUCUUCGGAUCGUAAAACUCUGUUAUUAGGGAAGAACAAACGUGUAAGUAGCUGUGCACGUCUUGACGGUACCUAAUCAGAAAGCCACGGCUAACUACGUG